AUUUUAAACGGAAAACUUCAAACACCACCCUGUGGUUUCGCACUUUUUUAUUUAGUAUCCAGUGGUUAAAGUGUAUCAGUUUAGUACCGUGUGAUUUCGUACGUACUUUCUCACUUUAGUACGUUGUGGUUUAAAGUGCAUUAGUUUACUGCGCUGUGGUUUCAUUUUUCUCUUUUCGGCUCCUUUAUUAAUAUUUUAUUAAAUUAUAUACAAAAAAACUUCAGAUACUCUAUUUAGAUUUAUCAAAUAUUUACUUUAGUACCCUUUAGUUUUAAGUUUGUCACUGAUUAUUUUUCCUCCAUUAAUAUUUCGUUAAAUUAUAUGCAAAAAAAACUUUAAAUAUCCUACCUAGGUUUAUCGAAUAUUCACUUUAGUACUCUUUAAUUUUAAUUUUGUCACUGAUUUAACAAAAAAAUUAGUGAAAUGGAUAAUAAAAGUAAAAAAAAAAAACCACAGGGUACUAAAGUGAGAAAGUGUGAAACCAUAGAGGGGUAUUUGAAGUUUACCUAUUUUAAACCUUAUCCUUUUAAGCGGUUACGUAAUAGGUUUGUGGACCAAGCAUGUGGGGUCAGGGAUGCAAACGGAUCCGGAUUGAUGGAUGCAGCUCAAUCUCGAUCCGCUCUAUAUAAAAUAUUAAAUAUGAAUAAAAAAUAAAAAAAAACUUUAAAUAUCAUCCUUGUUAUUUCGUACUUUCUUAUUUUAUUACUCUAUAGUUUAAAGUGUAUCAAUUUAGUAUUCUAUGGGUUUUUUUUUUUUUUUUCGUCAGCUUUUUCGUUAACAUUUCCUUAAACUAUAUACAAAAAACUUUUACCCCAUAUAGAUUUAUCGAAUAUUCACUUUAGUACCUUUUAGUUUUUACUUUGUCACUGAUUUAACCAAAAAAAAUUAAUAGUGGGGAUAAUAAAAUGAGAAAAAUGGAACUACGGAUUACUAAAUUGUUACACUUUAAACUAUAUAGUAUUAAAAUAAAAAAAAGUUGAUACUAAAUUAAUAUAUAUUACCAACCACA
RNAcentral lists this long non-coding RNA (1009 nucleotides) under Ananas comosus (pineapple). Its description in RNAcentral is "long non-coding RNA (ACOM_LNC038742)". Lineage: Eukaryota; Viridiplantae; Streptophyta; Magnoliopsida; Poales; Bromeliaceae. The record is from RNAcentral.